GACAGCAGUCGCCACGGUAAAACGUAGGUGGCAAGCGUUGUCCGGAAUUAUUGGGCGUAAAGGGCUCGCAGGCGGUUUCUUAAGUUUGAUGUGAAAGCCCCCGGCUCAACCGGGGAGGGUCAUUGGAAACUGGGAAACUUGAGUGCAGAAGAGGAGAGUGGAAUUCCACGUGUAGCGGUGAAAUGCGUAGAGAUGUGGAGGAACACCAGUGGCGAAGGCGACUCUCUGGUCUGUAACUGACGCUGAGGAGCGAAAGCGUGGGGAGCGAACAGGAUUAGAUACCCGCGUAGUCCCUGUCUCUUAUAC
RNAcentral lists this ribosomal RNA (306 nucleotides) under uncultured bacterium. Its description in RNAcentral is "partial 16S ribosomal RNA". It matches the Rfam family "Bacterial small subunit ribosomal RNA", at positions 507 to 807 of the family's 1533-position model. The record is from RNAcentral.